This 210-nucleotide long non-coding RNA is filed under the name Mytilus galloprovincialis (Mediterranean mussel). The record is from RNAcentral. Lineage: Eukaryota; Metazoa; Mollusca; Bivalvia; Mytilida; Mytilidae.
AUUUUUUGUAUUUAAACAAUAUUUUUUUCUUUCAGGUCGUCCACCGCCAUGCUGUGCUUGCGUCCGAGCACCGUGUAAUUGUCCACCAUGCAGUCCACCCUGGCCAACAUACAAACCACGACGACGAUAUCCUCAUUACGGAUAAACUUAUUUUUACAAAAAUCUGAUUAAAUAAUUUGAUUAUUUGAGUUUACAAAAUAGUUAGAAGGC